RNAcentral lists this ribosomal RNA (1428 nucleotides) under Staphylococcus saprophyticus. RNAcentral's name for it is "bacterial SSU rRNA". It matches the Rfam family "Bacterial small subunit ribosomal RNA". The record is from RNAcentral. Lineage: Bacteria; Bacillati; Bacillota; Bacilli; Caryophanales; Staphylococcaceae.
AUACAUGCAAGUCGAGCGAACAGAUAAGGAGCUUGCUCCUUUGACGUUAGCGGCGGACGGGUGAGUAACACGUGGGUAACCUACCUAUAAGACUGGGAUAACUUCGGGAAACCGGAGCUAAUACCGGAUAACAUUUGGAACCGCAUGGUUCUAAAGUGAAAGAUGGUUUUGCUAUCACUUAUAGAUGGACCCGCGCCGUAUUAGCUAGUUGGUAAGGUAACGGCUUACCAAGGCGACGAUACGUAGCCGACCUGAGAGGGUGAUCGGCCACACUGGAACUGAGACACGGUCCAGACUCCUACGGGAGGCAGCAGUAGGGAAUCUUCCGCAAUGGGCGAAAGCCUGACGGAGCAACGCCGCGUGAGUGAUGAAGGGUUUCGGCUCGUAAAACUCUGUUAUUAGGGAAGAACAAAUGUGUAAGUAACUGUGCACGUCUUGACGGUACCUAAUCAGAAAGCCACGGCUAACUACGUGCCAGCAGCCGCGGUAAUACGUAGGUGGCAAGCGUUAUCCGGAAUUAUUGGGCGUAAAGCGCGCGUAGGCGGUUUCUUAAGUCUGAUGUGAAAGCCCACGGCUCAACCGUGGAGGGUCAUUGGAAACUGGGAAACUUGAGUGCAGAAGAGGAAAGUGGAAUUCCAUGUGUAGCGGUGAAAUGCGCAGAGAUAUGGAGGAACACCAGUGGCGAAGGCGACUUUCUGGUCUGUAACUGACGCUGAUGUGCGAAAGCGUGGGGAUCAAACAGGAUUAGAUACCCUGGUAGUCCACGCCGUAAACGAUGAGUGCUAAGUGUUAGGGGGUUUCCGCCCCUUAGUGCUGCAGCUAACGCAUUAAGCACUCCGCCUGGGGAGUACGACCGCAAGGUUGAAACUCAAAGGAAUUGACGGGGACCCGCACAAGCGGUGGAGCAUGUGGUUUAAUUCGAAGCAACGCGAAGAACCUUACCAAAUCUUGACAUCCUUUGAAAACUCUAGAGAUAGAGCCUUCCCCUUCGGGGGACAAAGUGACAGGUGGUGCAUGGUUGUCGUCAGCUCGUGUCGUGAGAUGUUGGGUUAAGUCCCGCAACGAGCGCAACCCUUAAGCUUAGUUGCCAUCAUUAAGUUGGGCACUCUAGGUUGACUGCCGGUGACAAACCGGAGGAAGGUGGGGAUGACGUCAAAUCAUCAUGCCCCUUAUGAUUUGGGCUACACACGUGCUACAAUGGACAAUACAAAGGGCAGCUAAACCGCGAGGUCAUGCAAAUCCCAUAAAGUUGUUCUCAGUUCGGAUUGUAGUCUGCAACUCGACUACAUGAAGCUGGAAUCGCUAGUAAUCGUAGAUCACCAUGCUACGGUGAAUACGUUCCCGGGUCUUGUACACACCGCCCGUCACGCCACGAGAGUUUGUAACACCCGAAGCCGGUGGAGUAACCAUUUAUGGAGCUAGCCGUCG